AGCUUCAUGCUAAUUUCCCUGCAACUGAUCUGGUACAGUUCAACUGUAUGCAAAUUUCGGUAUCUGUACAGCUAAGGAUAUAUGUACAUGUAUCAUUGAUGCUAACUUGUAAUAAAUUGCAUAAAGUCUGAAAGGGAGAAUGGGAGAAAGGCAAGGUUCUUCAUGUUCAUUGUGUGUCUCAUUCACUGCAAAUAUCUCGAUUACAAAUGUAUUGUGUAAUCAGUUGCUCUGUGCCUUCCAGUGGUGCAAGAAAAAAAUCAGCAUGGCAAUCAAAUUCAAGUGUACAUAUUUUUUUCAUUCUCAAAUGGCUGUUCUUUUGCUGCAUAAGUGUGGUCUGAGUGUUCAUCUAACAAGAGUUCUCC
RNAcentral lists this long non-coding RNA (362 nucleotides) under Mytilus galloprovincialis (Mediterranean mussel). The record is from RNAcentral. Lineage: Eukaryota; Metazoa; Mollusca; Bivalvia; Mytilida; Mytilidae.